UACGUAGGGGGCAAGCGUUAUCCGGAUUUACUGGGUGUAAAGGGAGCGUAGACGGACUGGCAAGUCUGAUGUGAAAACCCGGGGCUCAACCCCGGGACUGCAUUGGAAACUGUCAGUCUAGAGUGUCGGAGGGGUAAGUGGAAUUCCUAGUGUAGCGGUGAAAUGCGUAGAUAUUAGGAGGAACACCAGUGGCGAAGGCGGCUUACUGGACGAUAACUGACGUUGAGGCUCGAAAGCGUGGGGAGCAAACAGG
Molecule: ribosomal RNA, 253 nt
Filed under: uncultured bacterium
Lineage: Bacteria
Description: partial 16S ribosomal RNA
Rfam family: Bacterial small subunit ribosomal RNA
Source: RNAcentral